Molecule: ribosomal RNA, 253 nt
Filed under: uncultured bacterium
Lineage: Bacteria
Description: partial 16S ribosomal RNA
Rfam family: Bacterial small subunit ribosomal RNA
Source: RNAcentral
UACGUAGGGUGCGAGCGUUGUCCGGAAUUAUUGGGCGUAAAGGGCUCGUAGGCGGUUUGUCGCGUCGGGAGUGAAAACCUCGGGCUUAACUCGGGGCUUGCUUUCGAUACGGGCAGACUGGAGGUAUGCAGGGGAGAACGGAAUUCCUGGUGUAGCGGUGAAAUGCGCAGAUAUCAGGAGGAACACCGGUGGCGAAGGCGGCUACCUGGCCCACUCUUGACGCUGAGGCGCGAAAGCUAGGGGAGCAAACGGG